RNAcentral lists this ribosomal RNA (253 nucleotides) under uncultured bacterium. RNAcentral's name for it is "partial 16S ribosomal RNA". It matches the Rfam family "Bacterial small subunit ribosomal RNA", at positions 524 to 776 of the family's 1533-position model. The record is from RNAcentral.
UACGGAGGAUGCGAGCGUUAUCCGGAUUUAUUGGGUGUAAAGGGAGCGUAGACGGCAUGGCAAGCCAGAUGUGAAAUACCGGGGCUCAACCCCGGGACUGCAUUUGGAACUGUUAAGCUGGAGUGUCGGAGAGGCAGGCGGAAUUCCUAGUGUAGCGGUGAAAUGCGUAGAUAUAUGGAGGAACACCGGUGGCGAAAGCGGCUCUCUGGCCUGUAACUGACACUGAGGCUCGAAAGCGUGGGGAGCAAACAGG